AACGAACGCUGGCGGCAGGCUUAACACAUGCAAGUCGAACGGAUCCUUCGGGAUUAGUGGCAGACGGGUGAGUAACGCGUGGGAACGUACCCUUUGCUACGGAAUAACUCAGGGAAACUUGAGCUAAUACCGUAUGUGCCCUACGGGGGAAAGAUUUAUCGGCAAAGGAUCGGCCCGCGUUGGAUUAGCUAGUUGGUGGGGUAAUGGCCUACCAAGGCGACGAUCCAUAGCUGGUCUGAGAGGAUGAUCAGCCACACUGGGACUGAGACACGGCCCAGACUCCUACGGGAGGCAGCAGUGGGGAAUAUUGGACAAUGGGCGCAAGCCUGAUCCAGCCAUGCCGCGUGAGCGAUGAAGGUCUUAGGAUUGUAAAGCUCUUUCACCGGCGAAGAUAAUGACGGUAGCCGGAGAAGAAGCCCCGGCUAACUUCGUG
RNAcentral lists this ribosomal RNA (433 nucleotides) under uncultured bacterium. RNAcentral's name for it is "partial 16S ribosomal RNA". It matches the Rfam family "Bacterial small subunit ribosomal RNA", at positions 29 to 507 of the family's 1533-position model. The record is from RNAcentral.